Molecule: ribosomal RNA, 465 nt
Filed under: uncultured bacterium
Lineage: Bacteria
Description: partial 16S ribosomal RNA
Rfam family: Bacterial small subunit ribosomal RNA
Source: RNAcentral
GACGAACGCUGGCGGCGUGCUUAACACAUGCAAGUCGUACGGUAAGGCCCUUUCGGGGGUACACGAGUGGCGAACGGGUGAGUAACACGUGAGUAACCUGCCCACAACUUUGGGAUAACGCUAGGAAACUGGUGCUAAUUCUGGAUAUGUGCUCCUGCUGCAUGGUGGGGGUUGGAAAGCUCCGGCGGUUGUGGAUGGACUCGCGGCCUAUCAGCUUGUUGGUGGGGUAGUGGCCUACCAAGGCGGCGACGGGUAGCCGGCCUGAGAGGGUGACCGGCCACAUUGGGACUGAGAUACGGCCCAGACUCCUACGGGAGGCAGCAGUGGGGAAUAUUGCACAAUGGGCGCAAGCCUGAUGCAGCAACGCCGCGUGCGGGAUGACGGCCUUCGGGUUGUAAACCGCUUUCAGCAGGGACGAAGCUUUUUGUGACGGUACCUGCAGAAGAAGCACCGGCUAACUACGUG